GGGUUGUGAGGUUAAGCGACUAAGCGUACACGGUGGAUGCCCUGGCAGUCAGAGGCGAUGAAGGACGUGCUAAUCUGCGAUAAGCGUCGGUGAGGUGAUAUGAACCGUUAUAACCGGCGAUUUCCGAAUGGGGAAACCCAGUGUGAUUCGUCACACUAUCAUUAACUGAAUCC
This 173-nucleotide ribosomal RNA is filed under the name Escherichia coli. RNAcentral describes it as "partial 23S ribosomal RNA". It matches the Rfam family "Bacterial large subunit ribosomal RNA", at positions 1 to 165 of the family's 2925-position model. The record is from RNAcentral. Lineage: Bacteria; Pseudomonadati; Pseudomonadota; Gammaproteobacteria; Enterobacterales; Enterobacteriaceae.